RNAcentral lists this unclassified non-coding RNA (233 nucleotides) under uncultured fungus. Its description in RNAcentral is "sequence contains ITS1". Lineage: Eukaryota; Fungi. The record is from RNAcentral.
GUAUUGAUUGCGUGUUAUCGCAAAAAUGGGGUCACUCUACACUUUUAAAAGGGGGGGUUUGUGUGAAAACGCAAGCCCCCCCUCUGAACGAGCCAAAAGGGGGACCCACGCGGUGGUGCACAGGGUGAGAUGGAUUGUUUGAAAAUGCUCGGGCGUGCACGACCAAAAGUCAGCGACAGCCCUUGCACCUCAGUUUUACAAUAAUGAUCCUUCCGCAGGUUCACCUACGGAAA